AAUUGUAAAGGUUCGUUGGUGAGCCCGUAAAACCAACAAAGGUUUUUGGUGAACCCGAAAAACCAAAGUGUAAAGGUUCGUUGGUGAGCCCGUAAAACCAACAAAGGUUUUUGGAUUGUGAGCCCGGAAAACAAUCCAACUGUAAUCCGCGAGAUUAUAGUGAAUUUCCAAGGGGUCGCUUGGGGAGCGGACGUAGGUGCUAAGG
This 205-nucleotide long non-coding RNA is filed under the name Phoenix dactylifera (date palm). RNAcentral describes it as "long non-coding RNA (PDAC_LNC016181)". Lineage: Eukaryota; Viridiplantae; Streptophyta; Magnoliopsida; Arecales; Arecaceae. The record is from RNAcentral.